CACCCGAACCAAGCAGGGGUCCUCUCGUCAGCUCCAAAGAGGAUUCAAACAUCCCCAAAUCCCGAAAAUAGAGUCAAGGGCCCCCAAGGAUAAUUUGCCAUUAUGCAUGCCAAAAAAAUAAUGUCGAGCAUUAUGUUCUUUAGGCUACUUUGCAGCACUUUGGUCAAGUCUGAUUAGUAUUGAAUACCGACUAAUCCCGUAGGGGAAAGAUUGCUUUUUGAGAUCGCGAAUUCCGGGAGGAGAGGUCCAGCUUUGACGUGAGAUGUUCGUUUUGCUGUGGGGUAAAGGCGGCACGUAUCAAGUAGCGCGGG
This 311-nucleotide small RNA is filed under the name Histoplasma capsulatum. Its description in RNAcentral is "hypothetical RNA". Lineage: Eukaryota; Fungi; Ascomycota; Eurotiomycetes; Onygenales; Ajellomycetaceae. RNAcentral also lists the same sequence under 1 other name. The record is from RNAcentral.